This 1234-nucleotide ribosomal RNA is filed under the name Candidatus Phytoplasma trifolii. RNAcentral describes it as "bacterial SSU rRNA". It matches the Rfam family "Bacterial small subunit ribosomal RNA", at positions 171 to 1401 of the family's 1533-position model. Lineage: Bacteria; Bacillati; Mycoplasmatota; Mollicutes; Acholeplasmatales; Acholeplasmataceae. The record is from RNAcentral.
GGAUAGGAAACAAAAAGGCAUCUUUUUGUUUUUAAAAGACCUUCUUACAAAGGUAUGCUUAAAGAGGGGCUUGCGCCACAUUAGUUAGUUGGUAGAGUAAAAGCCUACCAAGACGAUGAUGUGUAGCUGGACUGAGAGGUUGAACAGCCACAUUGGGACUGAGACACGGCCCAAACUCCUACGGGAGGCAGCAGUAGGGAAUUUUCGGCAAUGGAGGAAACUCUGACCGAGCAACGCCGCGUGAACGAUGAAGUAUUUCGGUAUGUAAAGUUCUUUUAUUGAAGAAGAAAAAGUAGUGGAAAAACUAUAUUGACGUUAUUCAAUGAAUAAGCCCCGGCUAACUAUGUGCCAGCAGCCGCGGUAAGACAUAGGGGGCGAGCGUUAUCCGGAAUUAUUGGGCGUAAAGGGUGCGUAGGCUGUUAGAUAAGUCUAUAAUUUAAUUUCAGUGCUUAACGCUGUCUUGUUAUAGAAACUGUCUUGACUAGAGUGAGAUAGAGGCAAGCGGAAUUCCAUGUGUAGCGGUAAAAUGUGUAAAUAUAUGGAGGAACACCAGAAGCGUAGGCGGCUUGCUGGGUCUUUACUGACGCUGAGGCACGAAAGCGUGGGUAGCAAACAGGAUUAGAUACCCUGGUAGUCCACGCCGUAAACGAUGAGUACUAAGUGUCGGGGUAAAACUCGGUACUGAAGUUAACACAUUAAGUACUCCGCCUGAGUAGUACGUACGCAAGUAUGAAACUUAAAGGAAUUGACGGGACUCCGCACAAGCGGUGGAUCAUGUUGUUUAAUUCGAAGAUACACGAAAAAUCUUACCAGGUCUUGACAUACUCUGCAAAGCUAUAGAAAUAUAGUGGAGGUUAUCAGGGAUACAGGUGGUGCAUGGUUGUCGUCAGUUCGUGUCGUGAGAUGUUAGGUUAAGUCCUAAAACGAACGCAACCCUUGUCGUUAAUUGCCAGCACAUAAUGGUGGGGACUUUAACGAGACUGCCAAUUAAACAUUGGAGGAAGGUGAGGAUUACGUCAAAUCAUCAUGCCCCUUAUGAUCUGGGCUACAAACGUGAUACAAUGGCUGUGACAAAGAGUAGCUGAAACGCGAGUUUUUAGCCAAUCUCAAAAAAGCAGUCUCAGUUCGGAUUGAAGUCUGUAACUCGACUUCAUGAAGUUGGAAUCGCUAGUAAUCGCGAAUCAGCAUGUCGCGGUGAAUACGUUCUCGGGGUUUGUACACGCCGCCCGUCAAA